This is a long non-coding RNA of Megachile rotundata (alfalfa leafcutting bee), 142 nucleotides long. Lineage: Eukaryota; Metazoa; Arthropoda; Insecta; Hymenoptera; Megachilidae. The record is from RefSeq and is a predicted model, not a curated record.
AGAGCCAAAAAGAUUCUUAAUACUUGACUGGUCAAGCGGGUAUUUGCCAUUCGGUUACUUGAUCGCUGGGUUGUUUUAGCAGCUGGUGAACAACAGGCUCCCCAAUUAAGCGAUCUGGUUUUAGGUGUCAGUGUGCGCUCUG